Hordeum vulgare subsp. vulgare (domesticated barley) is the source of this 399-nucleotide long non-coding RNA. RefSeq lists it as uncharacterized. The transcript is spliced from 4 exons. Lineage: Eukaryota; Viridiplantae; Streptophyta; Magnoliopsida; Poales; Poaceae. The record is from RefSeq and is a predicted model, not a curated record.
UUGGUAUUUAGGCCGAGAAUCGGACGGCCACCUAAGAAUCUCUCCCCAGGGACGAAAACCACUACUGCAGCAAGCCCAACUUCAUCAUAUGGAGCGAAGACCACACGUGCAGGAAGCCCAACUUCAUACGGCAGGGUGCCUAGGAAUUUCUACCCAGUAGCAAAGACUCCAAGUGCAGCAAGUCCAACCUCAUCUGGCAGGGUGCCUAAGAAUUUCUCCCCAUGAUCGAAGCCUACAAGUGCAGGAAGAAUUACAAGAAAGGACAAUGGCUUGCACAAGUUGGUUUUCAUGAGUGGCAUUCUGCCAGAGGGCACAGAUGUCGGCUAUUAUGUCGGGGGAAAGAGGUUGCUGGAUGGCUACAUAAAGGAACUUGGAAUCUAUUGUAAUUGCUGCAAUACA